Molecule: ribosomal RNA, 468 nt
Filed under: uncultured bacterium
Lineage: Bacteria
Description: partial 16S ribosomal RNA
Rfam family: Bacterial small subunit ribosomal RNA
Source: RNAcentral
GACGAACGCUGGCGGUGUGCUUAACACAUGCAAGUCGGACGGUAAGGCCCUUUCGGGGGUACACGAGUGGCGAACGGGUGAGUAACACGUGAGUAACCUGCCCUCAUCUCUGGGAUAACAGUCGGAAACGGUUGCUAAUACUGGAUAUGAGCUUGCAAGGCAUCUUGUGGGUUGGAAAGAUUUUUUUUGGUUGGGGAUGGACUCGCGGCCUAUCAGCUUGUUGGUGAGGUAGUGGCUCACCAAGGCUUCGACGGGUAGCCGGCCUGAGAGGGCGACCGGCCACAUUGGGACUGAGAUACGGCCCAAACUCCUACGGGAGGCAGCAGUGGGGAAUAUUGCACAAUGGACGGAAGUCUGAUGCAGCAACGCCGCGUGCGGGAUGACGGCCUUCGGGUUGUAAACCGCUUUCAAUUGUGACGAAGCUUUUUUGUGACGGUAGCAGUAGAAGAAGCACCGGCUAACUACGUG